GACAUCUUGACACAGAAAUCUGAAGUGUUAUUCAGAGUAAUAGUAGUGGAAAGACUGAGAUGAUGAAGUCUCAACUACAAAUACUUCUCUAUCCCAGAUAUCAGUGUGAGAGACAAACUGUACUAUAGGUAUCCAAAGCGUGGAGGAGUUUAUUCAGAACUAGGGAUACAAUACUUGUUUUUCCCUUCUUCCUUAGGACCUUUUCUUCUUGAAAAAAAGAGUAAGGGUCAUGAGUUCUCAGGAAAACAACUGUGCCCUUCACAACACUUGGCUUUUGGUAUAAAGAAAUUAAUGAUAUAAACUCUCUUAUUUCAAGGAACCAUAAGAACAGAGAAGUCCAGAUAAGAACAGAGACGUGCAAAUGCUUCUGAGAGUCUCCCAGCUCCUGAUUCCCUUAUGUGGAAGACUCAGAUCAAUGCUAUUUCUUCAGCGAUAUCACUCAAACCCUACAAAGGACUCACUGAACUUUCCAAAGGACCACAUAUUUCUUCCUUGUUUUUUAUACCAGGAAAGAAGAUCAGCUUUUUUCUCCCUAUUUCUAUUCUCUUCAUCGUCUUUGUUAUCACUCCCAAAUGUGCUCUGAAGUAGAGGCCUAUUAGUAAACCCUAGAAGUACUGAAAGAAUAUCUCAGAGGAAGUUGCAGUCACAACAACACUUGUGACAUCACAGAAGAAUCUAGUGCUCUCCAGGUUAGAAGAGAGUUUUCAGGGAAUGCCUAACAAUGAUGUCACUGAAAACUGUCAUGGCCUACCUGAUGAACACCUUUCCUUACAUUGACCAGAUUCAAGUUUGCACUUUAUAGGACCUUUUCUUCUUGCGAAAAAGUGUAAAGGUCAUGAGUUCUCAGGAAAACAACUGUGCCCUUCACAACACUUGGCUUUUGGAAUAAAGAAAUAAAUGAUAUAAA
Non-coding RNA from Rattus norvegicus (Norway rat), 907 nucleotides. The record is from RefSeq and is a predicted model, not a curated record. Lineage: Eukaryota; Metazoa; Chordata; Mammalia; Rodentia; Muridae.